Long non-coding RNA from Mauremys mutica (yellowpond turtle), 1699 nucleotides. RefSeq lists it as uncharacterized. The record is from RefSeq and is a predicted model, not a curated record. NCBI's taxonomy places the organism in Eukaryota, Metazoa, Chordata, Testudines, Geoemydidae. The transcript has 6 exons.
UCUGCCCCCCCUUUGUAAAUUGUACUUGAUAACUUCUAUUUGAUCUUCAAAUGUAAACAGUUUCUGUUUCAGAUUUGUGUGACAAACUGUUUCUAAAACGAAAAUGAUCUUAAAAGUUAAGAGCUGCUGUUUACUUUCCCUUCUUAAUCCUAAGAACAGCUUUUUGUAAGAAAAGCCAGUUGAUUUGAGUCUGGUAUUCUCUGUCUACAUUGAAUGUCAGACAGGUCUCUCCAUUCAUCCAGAAAGAAAACAAUUGAUGUAUUUUUGUGUGUCGGGUUAAUAGGAAAUAGUUUGGAAACUUCAUUCAGAUUUCUUUAAAACCAGUAUGGACCGUGAAUUAAGGUCCAAUGGAGCUUUGUGUUUUUAAUCAGUCUAAAACCUAAGAACUAUCAUCGAAGGUAACAGUUGCCUGACAGAGCGUGUUUGUUUGUUUUUUAAAUUGCAUGGACAAAACACGGAAAACGAUCGUUCAGAUUGUUGGGAUCAGUGGGCGGCGAUUAAAACUCAGGAAUGAGUGAGAGGAGUGCAUGAUUUAUCCCCAGCUCUAACCGUGAGACUUUUGAACAAUCCAGUUAGCCCCAGGUAAAACGGGGCUAAUAGCUAUCCAGCAAGGAUGUGAAGAGGCAUAAUGCGUUGCUGUUUGCAAAGCGCUAUGAACUCCUCGGAUGCUAGGGAAGUGCAAAUUAUUAUGAUUAGUUCUUUAUUUUUAUUUGAAGAAAUGUCUCGUUUUGGGAACUCCCUAGGCGAAGCUUGGGCUUUUCUCUGCACGCCAGGCACGUGGUGCGAAAUGCCAGAAACGCUGUAGGCUACAGUGACACGCAGAUCAUAAAAUCCAGCUAAGGAAAACCUCGUUCUUCGAAAGAACCGACUGUUCCAACUCAAGCUGAGUGGCAUCGUUGCAUCUUGAAAUUACAAUCUUCCUUGGUACUCCAUGUGGGCUGCUUGUUUCCAGCAUGUCUAAGAGCCAGAACUCCAAUUAACUUCUGUUUGGAUAUUGAGUAUGCAAGGAAUGCAAGAUUGGAUCUUGUACGUUGUUAAUAGUAGCUACUUAUCUAAAGCAAGGAUCUCAAACUCAAAUCACCACAAGGGCCACAUGAGGACUAGUACGUUGGCUCGAGGGCCGCACCACUGACACCCUUUCAUAUAAAGGCAUCCUGCCUCUCUAAUGGUGGUGCAGGACCUACAAGGCCAUAUAGCAACAGUAUCCUAUUGGGAUCCAGGAAGUGGGCAGGCUUCACUACUAAAGGACGUCCCCCAAGCCUAAUGGGAGGAUCCACAGGUCCGGGAUACCAAAACAAUCUCAAAUCAAGAUCUAUUGACACAGUGCAGCCAAGAGGCUCUGAGCACCAACAUUGUCAGGAGGUUGGAGAUGGAUCGGUCAUGUGCUGUGGAUGGAAGCUGAUUCCAUCACCAGAGUAGCAAUAAGAUGGACACCUGAAGGCAAGCGAAAAUGAGGCUGCCCAAAAACAAUGUGGUGAAGAGCUGUGGAAGCCAAGCUGAAAAACCUGGGGCACAGCUGGGAAACUAUUGAAAGAGUUGCCAGAAACAGACAGGAGUGGAGGAGCUGCGUCACUGCCCUAAACACCAGAGGCGUAAUUGGAACAUGAUGAUGAUGAUGAUUCUGUAAUUCUAUGAUUUGUUUAUUUACCCUUUUGUAACUUUUAUUUUGGUGGUGGAAAAAAACAACUGGAAGAUUCUG